UGGGGAAUCUUGCGCAAUGGGCGAAAGCCUGACGCAGCAACGCCGCGUGCGGGAAGAAGGCCUUCGGGUUGUAAACCGCUGUCAGGAGGGACGAAGCCACUCAGGUGAAUAGCCGAGAGGGUGACGGUACCUCCACAGGAAGCCCCGGCUAACUACGUGCCAGCAGCCGCGGUAAUACGUAGGGGGCUAGCGUUGUCCGGAAUCAUUGGGCGUAAAGCGCGUGUAGGCGGCUUGCCAAGUCCGAUGUGAAAGCUCGGGGCUCAACCCCGGGUCUGCAUUGGAAACUGGCUUGCUUGAGUCCGGAAGAGGAGACUGGAAUUCCUGGUGUAGCGGUGAAAUGCGCAGAUAUCAGGAAGAACACCGGUGGCGAAGGCGGGUCUCUGGGACGGUACUGACGCUGAGACGCGAAAGCGUGGGGAGCAAACAG
This 427-nucleotide ribosomal RNA is filed under the name uncultured bacterium. RNAcentral describes it as "bacterial SSU rRNA". It matches the Rfam family "Bacterial small subunit ribosomal RNA", at positions 355 to 775 of the family's 1533-position model. The record is from RNAcentral.